This is a long non-coding RNA of Clarias gariepinus (North African catfish), 2357 nucleotides long. RefSeq lists it as uncharacterized. The record is from RefSeq and is a predicted model, not a curated record. The transcript has 2 exons. Lineage: Eukaryota; Metazoa; Chordata; Actinopteri; Siluriformes; Clariidae.
CACCACAGACAGGAAGCUAUUCUAUCUAUGUCUCCGGAUUAUUUCUCCGGAGCUCAUGUAACUUCUGUCCUCGUGCGCAAGCACGUCUAUCCAGCUCUGCCAGAUCCCACUUAAGGGAUGUUCCAGGAGAGGUAUAGCCGCACUUGCCACCACAGACAGAAAGUUAUUCUACUUAUGUUACUUAUGUUACUUAUUUUACUAAUAUUACUCCUAUUUCUAUUCAUGUAUGUGCUAAUACACUAUAUAUGUAUAUUUGUAUGUGUGGAACUAAUAAGUACAGUAUAAAUAUGUUGACAUUAAAUUUAUUACAUAUAUUUUUAUAGCACUAUAUGAGUGUACUUAAUCCAUUUAACCAAUAACCAUCUCCUGCUACCACAUAUUCAGAAAUUCUAUUUUUAUCCGGUUCUUUCUUCACUUGCCACACGUUUCACAAUUCAAGACAUUAUACCAAUUGCAACAUCAUAAAAUCACAGAAUUACAACCACAAAUCAAACCUAUCUAUUCUAAUUUUCUAAUCAUGCAUUCCCACCAGCCACCUGAUCAGGACUUUUCCACCUGUCACCUAAGCCCUGCUAAAGGAAUUUUCCAGUCCCUAGAGCAGCGGUUAUACAGGAAUUUUCCGCUGGAAUUUUUCCACUCGCCCGUUCAGCCCUAUCUAUCAUGCCAAUCAUUAUACCUGGACGUACUAUGGUAUCAUGAUGAUAGCGGUAUCCACAAGAUUUCCUUUCACACCGUAGUUGUAUACUACAUAUUACCACGGUACCUAGGUAUAUUGUAGUACACGGUUACUUAUUCCAUGCCAACGCAUGCACGCACCUACACAAUCACACACCCUACCUACCAGUAUUUUCUUCUAUCCACUCUUCCAAUCAACACUAUUUGUUAAUUGAAGGCAGCCCUACUUGUAAAAUGUUACAAUUCAAGACAAUCACAACAGAAUUACACAAUACAAAUAACAACCAACAAGCUCAGCUCAGCAAGCACAAAAGCACAAAGCACAUUAAUCAACAUCAAUUUAUAAGCGCAUACUUUUUUGCUAUUUCUUCAAAUUGCAUUUACAUUAAUACACAUUACAUUACUCAAUUUCCACAUAAUUUGGUUCCCGGGGCCAGCCAGCCGUCCCCCAAGAAUCACCCGACCCCCACAGACAGCAGAAAAACUAUAGCAGAAUUUGAAUAACAGGUUUCUGCUUACCUUGUUCCUAUUGCCGCGGCAGUUCCGCUGACUGCGUAGGGUCGCCGACCCCCAUGGGGCUGCAACGACCAGCCGGGGUAUCCUAUGCCGACAACGCCAAUAUGUCGUGGCAAAUUUGCUGUGUACUAUGCCAAAUUUCCAAAACAAAAUCAAUAACUACUCAAGCACUGAAAUAGCAAAAGAGUUUAUUGCAGCCAAAAGUAAAUGGACAGCACUGGGCCAGCCAGACAAAAGACAAACAGACAAACUGCGAAGCUGUCUAUCUCUCACCUCCUCUAACUUCCCUAAUUUUACAUGGUUUAUAUACCUUCAUUUAACACUUACAUCAUUGUUUGCUCCUCCUUAAGUCAAGAAAUCACUUAAUAUUUAUUAGAUGUAAGCCAAUUUUGCCUAGGUUAGGUUGAUGUAGCGCCUCCCAAUUGCGUAAUCUCCCUUUUUUUCCUUUUUUUUUUCAUCUCAUAUUUAUUUAAGUCUGGGCCUACGAAGUCUUAUGCUUUCCCUUUUUUGGAGAAAUUUGGUUUGUUCCUGUUUCUUGACCAGACCAUUGACCACCGCUGGUGACUUGAGGUUUUGUUGAAGCCGCAAUCAAUUUUUCUAAAAUUUCCUCAUCAAGAUGUUUCGCAGGCAGCGCUCUUCUCGUACAUCUUCUCGUCUAAGAUUCCUUCUGGGAGCAGGUGGCUACACCUUCCCUUACCCGAAUCGUCACAAUUUGUGUCUGAUUCGAGCUCUGAUGGGCCUAGUCCGCCACCUGGAAGUUGUGAUUGCCGAGAUUGAGGCCCUCUCUCCACCACGACGUUUCCCAGUGGGACCUUACUACAGGUCCACCGGUGUUCCACCAUCCGGUGAUUUCACCCCUGCUUCUCCUCCAUCUUCACCAACCGUCAGCCUCAAUCCCACCUCUCCAGUUCGUUAUUCUCAUUCUUCUGAGGAUGAGGAUACCGCUGAAGAUCAUUAAUUUACUUUUUACUUCACCUGAUAUACUUCUUAUAUUUUCUUAACAAUUUGAUAAAUCUAAUCUUGUUUAUCUGUUUUUCAAAGCAGAAGUCUGGCUUUUUUGCACUUUGUCCCAAUUAAAGCAGAACCGAAAGUUUAUUUUUAUAUUUUGGAUCACUGCCUGCACUUUCUGAAUUUUCCAUUCCAAUAAAGUUGCACAACUUCUUGCA